ACGGGAGGCAGCAGUGGGGGAUAUGGCGCAAUGGGGGCAACCCUGACGCAGCAACGCCGCGUGAAGGAUGAACGUUUUCGGAUUGUAAACUUCUUUUAUUAAGGACGAAAAUUGACGGUACUUAAUGAAUAAGCUCCGGCUAACUACGUGCCAGCAGCCGCGGUAAUACGUAGGGAGCAAGCGUUGUCCGGAUUUACUGGGUGUAAAGGGUGCGUAGGCGGCUUUGCAAGUCAGAUGUGAAAUCUAUGGGCUCAACCCAUAAACUGCAUUUGAAACUGUAGAGCUUGAGUGAAGUAGAGGCAGGCGGAAUUCCCCGUGUAGCGGUGAAAUGCGUAGAGAUGGGGAGGAACACCAGUGGCGAAGGCGGCCUGCUGGGCUUUAACUGACGCUGAGGCACGAAAGCGUGGGUAGCAAACAGGAUUAGAUACCCUGGUAGUCCACGCUGUAAACGAUGAUUACUAGGUGUGGGGGGUCGACCCCUUCCGUGCC
Molecule: ribosomal RNA, 489 nt
Filed under: uncultured bacterium
Lineage: Bacteria
Description: bacterial SSU rRNA
Rfam family: Bacterial small subunit ribosomal RNA
Source: RNAcentral